GGGAGGGAGGGAGGAUACAGGGUUAAGGAACUGUUGGGCCUAAUGGGACCCUCCUGUACAAUGAUCAGUCAGUCAAUAGAAAUACUCAUGAAAGACGGGGCUGUGAAGUUACCUCAUCAACAUUGUGUAAUACAAUGAAUACCUAUUUUGUUGCAGUGUAUCAUAUCAUUCCCCAGUCAUAUUAUGUCAAUUAUAUUUCCAGGCAUUGGCCUACUAUGUAAAACUCCCCAAAUCCACCAACUUUUGAACGGGUGGUGAGGAAAAUAAAACCUGAUAAACGGUGGCUUGUUUUACUCAGUUGAUUUAGGGACUGGAGAGUGGGGGAGGGGUGACAUAUUUUAUUGAGAUUUUGUUGAGAUGAAGAAUAACAGUAGUAAGAGAGAGCAGCACAAAGCGUGGUGGUUAACUGCAGGAAAAAUGUGGCAUCACUGUGUCCAACAGGGAAAAGCUUCUCCCGGAGAGUUUUGUUUAUUUAGGCUAUUGAGGUGGAACUGGAAUUCUGUGCAGGUGUGUGAAACAUGCUUCCCUGUAGUGCUGUGGCACAAAAGUGUAUAGCACAAAAUUGCCUCCUCCUUUCCUUCUUCCUCCUCCUCUUUCUUUGUGGAAGAUUCAUCUAUAGAAGCUGAUCAAACUGCCAUAGACAGUCAUACAAGGAACAGAAGAACAUAACCAAAAUACAUAGAGGUAAAGGUGUCUCAAAUUGUUUCAUUGAUUAGUAUGUUGUAACUGUGUUCAUUUUCUUGGGAGAGCUGACAACUAUAUUUUAGAACCAAACUUAUGAGACAAAAUUCAGCUGCGUCUUGUUCUGAUUUUUGGAUUGUCCAAUCAAUUGAAGCAGAUGUAACUUCUCUGUUGAUUGAAUGUAAUGACUUUUGAAAAAUACUUUUGCUUGGUUUGAAAAGUCUUGAAAUAAUUUGGGGGGUUUUCAACUUUGAGAUAGUGACCUAUAUAUUGUUAUGUUAUAUAUAUUACACUUACUAUCAAUGCCAAAAGACAUAUCAUGCAAAUAAUUACCAAUAAAACCUCCUUAUAUAAAAAGCACACCAUUUCAUCUCAAACUACACCGCAUGUGCAAAUACUUUCUCUACUGACACUCAGUCUGGUUCCAUCACCAUGUCAUUUCUAUAGGAUACAGUCUGUCACUGGGGCCAUUUUCCUCUGCUAUGGUUUCAUCUGAAUAUGGUCCUAAAGAACAACUCUGUCAGUCAGACAUGGGUCAAAUAAACAUGUCAAACAGUCAAGUAUUUGGUAGUGAUUGUGGUGAGCAUCAUUUAGAUCUGUACUUACACCCCUGCGCUGGACUCUCCUCUCCUGUCGUGGUCAGGUUCACCACGUGAUCGCCAUAUUUCCACCUCUUCACUAUUGGAUCCAGAUUUGCA
This is a long non-coding RNA of Oncorhynchus tshawytscha (Chinook salmon), 1379 nucleotides long. NCBI's taxonomy places the organism in Eukaryota, Metazoa, Chordata, Actinopteri, Salmoniformes, Salmonidae. The record is from Ensembl.